UGUGUUCACAAACAACCUAUU
RNAcentral lists this non-coding RNA (21 nucleotides) under Caenorhabditis elegans. The record is from RNAcentral. Lineage: Eukaryota; Metazoa; Nematoda; Chromadorea; Rhabditida; Rhabditidae.